Molecule: long non-coding RNA, 668 nt
Organism: Suricata suricatta (meerkat)
Lineage: Eukaryota; Metazoa; Chordata; Mammalia; Carnivora; Herpestidae
Source: Ensembl
GACUGAGCCACCCAGGCACCCAUGCACCCCCUCACUCCCUACCCAUGCCAUUUAUUCUUAAGAAAAGGAGAAUUUCAACUGUGCUUAGGUUAGUUCCAACUUGCAAAGGGGGAAGGUGGGGUUUGACAUUUAAGAUCAGUGUUAAUGAUUAUGAAUAUUUGCAUUGCAAGUGACAAAAGAAAAGAAAAGAAGAGAAAAUCAAACUGGCUCAAACCAUGAAGAAAAUUUGCUGGUUUGGUUAAUAGAAAAGUCUAGAGAUAACUUCAGGUGAGGAUUGAUCCAGGAACUCAAUAAUGUCAUCAAGGACACAGAUUCUUUCCGUUUGUCUGCACUUGCUUUUGGGUGGCUCCCUAGAUGGGCCCCCGUUGGCUGCCAGCAGGUCCCGGGGCUACAGGCUUCCUCAUUCACAUCAAGCAAAGCAGAGAACCUUUGCCAGCUUUCUUUCUUCUGGAAAUUAAGGCUGACUCCAGUUCUCCCUGAAUCCCAUCUCCAGGAAACCCAGUGAAGGGUUCUCCCGUGCCUGGUCGCAAGCUCGGCGAGCCCGGGCCACGUUUCUCUUCCUGGUGCUUCUAACCGCCCUCAGCAGACACGCCUAGAAAAUACCUGGGUAGUAUGGACUGUGUCAAAUCUUAUUUUUCUACUCCUCUGUGAUGUGCAAAGACUUCAAC